RNAcentral lists this ribosomal RNA (417 nucleotides) under uncultured beta proteobacterium. RNAcentral describes it as "bacterial SSU rRNA". It matches the Rfam family "Bacterial small subunit ribosomal RNA", at positions 9 to 429 of the family's 1533-position model. Lineage: Bacteria; Pseudomonadati; Pseudomonadota; Betaproteobacteria. The record is from RNAcentral.
GAGUUUGAUCUUGGCUCAGAUUGAACGCUGGCGGCAUGCCUUACACAUGCAAGUCGAGCGGCAGCGCGGGGGCAACCCUGGCGGCGAGCGGCGAACGGGUGAGUAAUACAUCGGAACGUGUCCUGUCGUGGGGGAUAACCAGUCGAAAGAUUGGCUAAUACCGCAUGACCUCGUAAGAGAAAAGCGGGGGACCGUAAGGCCUCGCGCGACUGGAGCGGCCGAUGUCGGAUUAGCUAGUUGGCGGGGUAAAAGCCCACCAAGGCGACGAUCCGUAGCUGGUUUGAGAGAACGACCAGCCACACUGGGACUGAGACACGGCCCAGACUCCUACGGGAGGCAGCAGUGGGGAAUUUUGGACAAUGGGGGCAACCCUGAUCCAGCCAUGCCGCGUGUGUGAAGAAGGCCUUCGGUUGUAAG